GGAAAAGUCCUACAAUGCAUGUAAUGAUACUGAUAAUGAUAUAUUAUAAAGAAAAAUAUUAGUAUUAGUAUCAAUUUAAAAAGGACAAAGUGGUAUAUUCAAAUUCUAUAAAUAGAUGUUAUUGUUAUCAUUUUAGUAUCGUAAAUUACUUGCAUUACUAUUCAAUCAUUCUCGAACAUUCUUGAAAUCUCUUUUCCCUAGCGAAAACAAACAAGAUGGCCCUAAGGAGCUGUGGAUGUGGUGAAAACUGCAGCUGUGGUGACGGCUGCAACUGCAACAGGAUGAACUCAAGAGCUGAGUGUGGCUGUGGAGAUGACUGCAGCUGUGACCCAUGCACUUGUGAUUAAACACACACUCACAUGAACCGUAUAUUAUGAAUAUGUGUGGCUUAUUUAUUUAAUAUGAUUGUAUUGAGAAUCGAAUAAAUUAUGGGACAUGGCAUCUUCAGAUUUGGUAAGUUGUACUUCUAAAUCUGUCGAUGCUGUGGUCCGAGUGCUGGGUUUGUUAUUGUGUGAUAUUAUGAUUGUUGAAUGAAACAAACAUUUUAAUUACCGUGUAACGUUAAAUAUUGCAUUGGCAUCGCUUUCUGAAACUUCUCAAGUCUAGGCAACUAGUCUUGUGGAUGUUUCAUUUGAUGUCUAUGAUUGUACUACUAUAAUGUUGUGAUGAAGUUUUAUUUUAUCUUGUAACUUU
Long non-coding RNA from Amaranthus tricolor (Joseph's coat), 693 nucleotides. RefSeq lists it as uncharacterized. NCBI's taxonomy places the organism in Eukaryota, Viridiplantae, Streptophyta, Magnoliopsida, Caryophyllales, Amaranthaceae. The transcript has 2 exons. The record is from RefSeq and is a predicted model, not a curated record.